RNAcentral lists this long non-coding RNA (368 nucleotides) under Mytilus galloprovincialis (Mediterranean mussel). The record is from RNAcentral. Lineage: Eukaryota; Metazoa; Mollusca; Bivalvia; Mytilida; Mytilidae.
UGCCGUCACUAUUUUUUAAUUUUCAACUGAUUCUUAGGUUUGUUUCCUUGUUUAAAGCAAAAUAUCGUUAUGACCUUAAUGGUUUAUACGCAUGCAUUGUGUGUGGUAUCAUCUCAUAUCAAACAUGAGUAGUAUAAUGAAAAGAACGAUAAUGACCAAAGAUAUGUGAAUUUUUAUUCGACUUUUUACCUGCAUGUGUGUGAAACAAGGCUAAAAUGCGUAUUUAGAUAAUGACAUUGAGAAUGGAAAAAGGGGAACGUGUAAAAGAGUCAGCCAUCCGAUCAUCGAGCAGACAACAGCCCAAAACCAAAAAUCUAAUGUAAUUAUUAUCUAAAAACCAUCUCUAGAAAUCAGAGGAGAGGGUUGGC